Long non-coding RNA from Alosa sapidissima (American shad), 313 nucleotides. RefSeq lists it as uncharacterized. Lineage: Eukaryota; Metazoa; Chordata; Actinopteri; Clupeiformes; Clupeidae. The record is from RefSeq and is a predicted model, not a curated record. The transcript is spliced from 2 exons.
UCUUUACAUGGGAACUAGAAGAACACCUCACCCUCUCAAGUGCUUCAAAAAAAAAUGAAGUUAACCAUAUAUUUGUAAUUUUUAUGAAUUCCUGUAGAAAAUACAUAUUGUAUGCUUGUAGAGGGUCUGCACAGAUGUUUGGAAAAUUACUCUUGCACGGGAAGCUGCAUGAGGUCCCGGUCUGAGAAGAGUCGUAAGAGGAAGUCAUGGACAUCAUCAAGCUUUUCUGGCCCACCCAUGUUCAUCAUGAGAAUUCCAGUCUUCGGUUUCCUGGUACAAGCAGAACAUGAUGCAUUAAAUAUGUAGAAAACCA